This 783-nucleotide ribosomal RNA is filed under the name Phorbas fictitioides. RNAcentral's name for it is "eukaryotic LSU rRNA". It matches the Rfam family "Eukaryotic large subunit ribosomal RNA", at positions 944 to 1703 of the family's 3401-position model. Lineage: Eukaryota; Metazoa; Porifera; Demospongiae; Poecilosclerida; Hymedesmiidae. The record is from RNAcentral.
CUAGUAGCUGGUUCCCUCCGAAGUUUCCCUCAGGAUAGCUGGAGCCCGGUGGCAGUUUUAUCAGGUAAAGCGAAUGAUUAGAGGUCUUGGGGCUGAAACGGCCUCAACCUAUUCUCAAACUUUAAAUGGGUAAGAAGCCUGGCUUGCUCGGUUGAAGUCGGGCGCAGAAUGCCGGGGCUCCCAGUGGGCCAUUUUUGGUAAGCAGAACUGGCGAUGUGGGAUGAACCGAAAGUCGGGUUAAGGUGCCGGAAUCGACGCUCAUCAGAUCCCAUGAAAGGUGUUGGUUGAUACAGACAGCAGGACGGUGGCCAUGGAAGUCGGAACCCGCUAAGGAGUGUGUAACAACUCACCUGCCGAAUCAACUAGCCCUGAAAAUGGAUGGCGCUCAAGUGUCGUACCCACACCCGACCGUCGGGUCGAGCCGCGUGACCCGACGUGUAGGAGGGCGCGGCGGUGGCCGUGCAGCCUCUGGCGCGAGCCUGGGUGAAGCCGCCGCCGGUGCAGAUCUUGGUGGCAGUAGCAAAUAUUCAAACGAGAACUUUGAAGACUGAAGUGGAGAAGGGUUCCAUGUGAACAGCAGUUGGACAUGGGUUAGUCGAUCCUAAGGGAAGGGAGAGGUCCCUCUGGAAGGCGCAAUCGCUCCGGCGACCGCGCCGUUCCCCGAAAGGGAAUCGGGUUAACAUUCCCGAACCGGGAUGCGGAUUGGGCCUCCGUGCCCGCGGCGGCGACGCAAGCGAACUCGGAGACGUCGGCGGGAGCCCCGGGAAGGGUUCUCUUUCUUCU